UAGGGAAUCUUCGGCAAUGGACGAAAGUCUGACCGAGCAACGCCGCGUGAGUGAAGAAGGUUUUCGGAUCGUAAAACUCUGUUGUUAGAGAAGAACAAGGACGUUAGUAACUGAACGUCCCCUGACGGUAUCUAACCAGAAAGCCACGGCUAACUACGUGCCAGCAGCCGCGGUAAUACGUAGGUGGCAAGCGUUGUCCGGAUUUAUUGGGCGUAAAGCGAGCGCAGGCGGUUUCUUAAGUCUGAUGUGAAAGCCCCCGGCUCAACCGGGGAGGGUCAUUGGAAGCUGGGAGACUUGAGUGCAGAAGAGGAGAGUGGACUUCCAUGUGUAGCGGUGAAGUGCGUAGAUAUAUGGAGGAACACCAGUGGCGAAGGCGGCUCUCUGGUCUGUAACUGACGCUGAGGCUCGAAAGCGUGGGGAGCAAACAGG
Molecule: ribosomal RNA, 429 nt
Filed under: Gemmatimonadota bacterium
Lineage: Bacteria; Pseudomonadati; Gemmatimonadota
Description: Gemmatimonadetes bacterium partial 16S ribosomal RNA
Rfam family: Bacterial small subunit ribosomal RNA
Source: RNAcentral